RNAcentral lists this ribosomal RNA (776 nucleotides) under Oceanoplaca sideritoides. RNAcentral describes it as "Teloschistaceae sp. UA-2020i partial large subunit ribosomal RNA". It matches the Rfam family "Eukaryotic large subunit ribosomal RNA", at positions 151 to 943 of the family's 3401-position model. The record is from RNAcentral. Lineage: Eukaryota; Fungi; Ascomycota; Lecanoromycetes; Teloschistales; Teloschistaceae.
GUAGAGGAUGUUUCGGGACUCGGCGCCGGCGUAAGUCCCUUGGAACGGGGCGUCAUAGAGGGUGAGAAUCCCGUAUGUGCCCGGUGACCAAGCCCGUGUGAAAAUCCUUCGACGAGUCGAGUUGUUUGGGAAUGCAGCUCAAAAUGGGUGGUAAAUUUCAUCUAAAGCUAAAUAUUGGCCAGAGACCGAUAGCGCACAAGUAGAGUGAUCGAAAGAUGAAAAGCACUUUGGAAAGAGAGUCAAACAGUACGUGAAAUUGUUGAAAGGGAAGCGCUUGCAACCAGACCUGCCCGCGGGCGAUCAGCCGUCCCUCUGGGGCGGUGUACGCGCUCGUGAACAGGCCAGCAUCGGUUCGGGCGGCCGGACAAAGGCCCUGGGAACGUAACUCCCCUCGGGGAGUGUUAUAGCCCUCGGUGUAACGCGGCCAGCCGGGACCGAGGACCGCGCUUCGGCUAGGAUGCUGGCGUAAUGGUUGUAAGCGGCCCGUCUUGAAACACGGACCAAGGAGUCUAACAUCUAUGCGAGUGUUUGGGCGUGAAACCCAGGCGCGCAAUGAAAGUGAACGGAGGUGGGAACCCCUCGAGGGCGCACCAUCGACCGAUCCUGAUGUCUUCGGAUGGAUUUGAGUACGAGCAUAGCUGUUGGGACCCGAAAGAUGGUGAACUAUGCCUGAAUAGGGUGAAGCCAGAGGAAACUCUGGUGGAGGCUCGCAGCGGUUCUGACGUGCAAAUCGAUCGUCAAAUUUGGGUAUAGGGGCGAAAGACUAAUCGAACCAU